RNAcentral lists this ribosomal RNA (358 nucleotides) under uncultured soil bacterium. RNAcentral describes it as "bacterial SSU rRNA". It matches the Rfam family "Bacterial small subunit ribosomal RNA", at positions 26 to 410 of the family's 1533-position model. The record is from RNAcentral.
AGAACGAACGCUGGCGGCAUGCCUAAUACAUGCAAGUCGAACGAACACUUCGGUGUUAGUGGCGCACGGGUGCGUAACGCGUGGGAAUCUGCCCUUGGGUUCGGAAUAACAGUUGGAAACGACUGCUAAUACCGGAUGAUAUCGAAAGAUCAAAGAUUUAUCGCCCAGGGAUGAGCCCGCGUAGGAUUAGCUAGUUGGUGAGGUAAGCUCACAAGGCGACGAUCCUUAGCUGGUCUGAGAGGAUGAUCAGCCACACUGGGACUGAGACACGGCCCAGACUCCGUACGGAGGCAGCAGUAGGGAAUAUUGGACAAGUGGGCGCAAGCCUGAUCCGAGACAAGUCGCCGCGGUAGAGUAG